This 427-nucleotide ribosomal RNA is filed under the name uncultured bacterium. RNAcentral's name for it is "partial 16S ribosomal RNA". It matches the Rfam family "Bacterial small subunit ribosomal RNA", at positions 355 to 774 of the family's 1533-position model. The record is from RNAcentral.
UGGGGAAUAUUGGACAAUGGGCGAAAUCCUGAUCCAGCCAUGCCGCGUGUGUGAAGAAGGUCUUCGGAUUGUAAAGCACUUUAAGUUGGGAGGAAGGGCAUUAACCUAAUACGUUAGUGUUUUGACGUUACCGACAGAAUAAGCACCGGCUAACUCUGUGCCAGCAGCCGCGGUAAUACAGAGGGUGCAAGCGUUAAUCGGAAUUACUGGGCGUAAAGCGCGCGUAGGUGGUUUGUUAAGUUGGAUGUGAAAUCCCCGGGCUCAACCUGGGAACUGCAUUCAAAACUGACUGACUAGAGUAUGGUAGAGGGUGGUGGAAUUUCCUGUGUAGCGGUGAAAUGCGUAGAUAUAGGAAGGAACACCAGUGGCGAAGGCGACCACCUGGACUAAUACUGACACUGAGGUGCGAAAGCGUGGGGAGCAAACA